AUUGAACGCUGGCGGCAGGCCUAACACAUGCAAGUCGAGCGGAGCGGCGGACGGGUGAGUAAUGUCUGGGAAACUGCCUGCUGGAGGGGGAUAACUACUGGAAACGGUAGCUAAUACCGAAUACUAUCAGAUGAGCCUAGGUCUGAUUAGCUAGUUGGUGUGGUAAAGGCCUACCAAGGCGACGAUCCGUAACUGGUCUGAGAGGAUGAUCAGUCACACUGGAACUGAGACACGGUCCAGACUCCUACGGGAGGAAGCAGUGGGGAAUAUUGGACAAUGGGCGAAAGCCGGAUCCAGCCAUGCCUCGUGUGUGAAGAAGGUCUUCGGAUUGUAAAGCACUUUAAGUUGGGAGGCGUUACCAACAGAAGAAGCACCGGCUAACUUCGUGCCAGCCGCCGCGGUAAUAC
RNAcentral lists this ribosomal RNA (407 nucleotides) under uncultured bacterium. RNAcentral's name for it is "partial 16S ribosomal RNA". It matches the Rfam family "Bacterial small subunit ribosomal RNA", at positions 30 to 526 of the family's 1533-position model. The record is from RNAcentral.